Long non-coding RNA from Epinephelus fuscoguttatus (brown-marbled grouper), 193 nucleotides. RefSeq lists it as uncharacterized. The transcript has 2 exons. Lineage: Eukaryota; Metazoa; Chordata; Actinopteri; Perciformes; Serranidae. The record is from RefSeq and is a predicted model, not a curated record.
GAAGUUUAAAAAUGGUCAAACAGUGUGCAUGGGGUACAUGCAACUCUGACACAAGGUAUCCUGAGAGGCUGGGCGACCAGGUGUAUUUUUUACACUUUAAACCACAUCUCAACCGAGAAAAGUGUCUCCUUUGGAUAAAGUUGUGUGGUAACGUUAGACCACAACAUCAACUCAACGUGAAUAAGAUUAACAA